GGGGCGACAACCAGCAUCUUUGUGAGCAGCGGACUCAUAAUCCGUCGGUCCCGGGUUCAAGUCCCGGUCGCCCUA
RNAcentral lists this transfer RNA (75 nucleotides) under Cryobacterium sp. TMS1-13-1. RNAcentral describes it as "tRNA-Met". It matches the Rfam family "tRNA". From Rfam's summary of the family: Transfer RNA (tRNA) molecules are approximately 80 nucleotides in length. Their secondary structure includes four short double-helical elements and three loops (D, anti-codon, and T loops). The record is from RNAcentral. Lineage: Bacteria; Bacillati; Actinomycetota; Actinomycetes; Micrococcales; Microbacteriaceae.